Molecule: unclassified non-coding RNA, 248 nt
Filed under: Hevea brasiliensis (rubber tree)
Lineage: Eukaryota; Viridiplantae; Streptophyta; Magnoliopsida; Malpighiales; Euphorbiaceae
Source: RNAcentral
GGGUUGGCUUCAUCACCCAUAAGAAAGAUAUCCCCGAAUUUAAUAGUCCAAACGCGAUCUCAUCUGUUUGUUCUUGAUCAGGAACUGCAACACUACCAAAUGAAAUGUAAACAACUGAAGAUGUUGGCCUCGAGUCAAGCCACUCGAUGCAAUCCUCCUCGAUAUUUGUGCAAUCACCGCGAAUGUGGCUAACGAUUUCAGGGUCAUUAAAUAACAAGGGACCAAUAGUCCUAAUGGGGCAAAUUUUC